This 4514-nucleotide long non-coding RNA is filed under the name Heterocephalus glaber (naked mole-rat). RNAcentral's name for it is "lncRNA (ENSHGLG00000045405.1)". The record is from RNAcentral. Lineage: Eukaryota; Metazoa; Chordata; Mammalia; Rodentia; Bathyergidae.
GGCGGGUUGCUGAAGUUCUCGGGAGCUCAGUGCCAGGCGCUUAGAAGAGUGCACACGAAGUGUCUGGUUCGGCAGCUGCCCACUCAGUGUCCGGUAUGUGUGGGCUGGUGAGGUGGCACACUCCUGUAAUGCCAGCUCCUCAGGAGGCUGAGGCAAGAGGAUUGCAAGUUUGAGGCUGGACUGGGCAAGUGCGUGAGAACCUAUCUCAAAAUAAUUUUUUUCAAAGUAAAAUUUUGAAAAGGGCUGGGAUGUAGCUUAGCACACCCUGGUUUCCAACCCCAGUACUUGGAGGUGGGGAAAGAGGUCAUGGGUAGGGAAAAAGCCAAACAUUCACCCAUUCGGCAAAUAUUUAUUGAGCGCCUACUAUGUCCUAGGCAGCUUUCCAGGGUAUACAAGGGAGACUCAGGCAGCCGAACUUCCUUCCUAGGAGGUGGGGGCGUCAACAAACACUGGUUUCAAGCCUGAGGAAGGAAAGCGAGGGGAUGCUUGCGAAGGCGACAGCGGGGGACCCUUUGUCAUGAAGAACCCCUUUAACAACCGCUGGUAUCAAAUGGGCAUCGUCUCCUGGGGUGAGGGCUGUGACCGGGACGGGAAAUACGGCUUCUACACACACGUGUUCCGCCUGAAGAAGUGGAUCCAGAAGGUCAUCGAGCGGUUCGGUGGGCCGGCUCCCACGGCGGUCUCACCGCGCCGACGCAGGCACCAACCCACGCAAUGAGUAUCUCUGUGGCUUCAAAGCACCGUGCCAAUAAAGUGACUGUCGGUGAGCCUCAGGCUCCAGUGCUGUGUGGCCCGAAGCAGGCUGUGUGCGGGACAGGACGGUGAGGGCGAGGGCGGGGGUGGGCUGCACGCAGGGUGGGUAAACUGAGGCUUGGAGAAGCGGCUGGACUGGUCACAGAGCUCAGAACUCCAGCGGUACCGAAGGAGGCGCGAGGCCUCUCUCUGGCUGCCCUGCUGUCGGCCUGGAGCAGCGGACGGACUCCGGGGAGGGACUUGGUGCGCCGAGUCCCGGGAGCCGUCAGGGCCUUCAGAUUCUGGCUCCAACCUUAGCAGAGGUAACCAUGGCCAAGUCACCUCACAUUUGCUCUUUAUUCACCUUUAGUUUUUUGUUUUUGGUACUGGGGAUCGAACUCUGGCGCGGUGCCACUGAGCUACAUCCCCAGCCUAGUUUUUGGCUGGUUUUUUUUUUGUACUGGGGAUCGAACUCAGGACCUAGCGCUUGCGCAUCAGAUGCCGGAACCACUGAGCUAAAUCUCCGGCCCAAAGUUUUUUUUUUUUUUUUUUUUGAGGGUACCAGGGACCGAACUCAGGACCUUGCACUUGCGAGGCACGUGGCAGCACCACUGAGCUAAAUCCCUGGCGAGGCUCCCUACUUAUCGCCCCUCUCCCAGUCGCAGCAGGCAACACAGCAACAUCAAAUCCUGGAAUUCUCCUGACACAGAGAUUUUCAGAUUGCAGCAAUUUUUUUUCCAGGACAUAGGCCCUUAGGGGUGGGUAAAUGGGUUUGGACAAAUUAAAAUGUCAGAUGUGGAGAUACACACCUGCAUACUAGGACUCUGGGAGGCUGAGGCAGGAUCCCAUCUUUUUUGUUUUUUGUACCGGCGAUCAAACUUGGGACUUUGCGCUUUCGAGGCAGGCGGCAGAACCACUGAGGUAAAUCCCUGGCCCAGGAUCCCAGCUUUGAGCCCAACCUGGGCAAUUUAAUGACUUAGCAAGACCCUCUCUCAGAAUAAAAAAUAAUAGGCUAGGGCUCAAUGCGAAGGCCUUAGGUUCAAUCACCAGCACCACACACACAAAACCCCCAAGAGAACAUAAAGUCACAGGGAUUUUUUCUUUUUGUGACAAGGUCUUGCUAUGUAGUUCAGGCUGGCCUCAAACUCAGAGCAGUCCUCCUGCCUCAGCCUCCUAGGCACUGGGAUUACAAGUGUGUGCCACCACGCCUGCCAAAGUAACAAGAUUUAAACCCCCAUGCCUAGCACAUUCAAGGUCAUGUUGGCAGCGGCCACUGAGAGGACCAGAGCCCGGCUCUGACCCGCGGGCGCCCUGGUGGGCCUGUGAGUGCAGUGCCAUGGCUCCAUCCCCACUGGGCGGUACCAGAGCCAGCAGCAGCCGGGAUGGUGAGGGUCACAGGGUGAUGGCGUGGCUUGAAGCUGGAUGUCUUGGAUGCCAUGCAGUUACCGUUUCCAGCUCAGGCUCCUCAGCUGCAGGGCGUGCUUUGGAGCAGGAAAGGACUAACAGGAGUCAGCUUUAACCCGUUUCCCUCUUCAGCACACAAGGGCACAGAAGGCAGGACUGGACUCAGCUCUGUCCUUGUUCCGUGGUUCUGGUUGAGUGGGGCCUGCUCGUGGUGACUCCCACACGGAGCCUUAAGCAGACGGGGAGGGAUCUGGAACAAGCCUUGGUGCCCAGGCCUGCUAGGAACCAGGCCCAGCGUCCCACAGACUGCAUCCCAUCCACAUCGCCAGCCCCGGUUUUCACUUAGCGGUCUAACUCCGUGCACAAGCUUGGGUCCUUCCACAGCAACAAACACCGCCUUCCUGGCCGGGACACUCACUGCACGGUGCCCUGUGAGAGGCGGCAGGCUCUGAGGCCGGGAUGGACACUGAGAGGAUGCCUGCCCGCUCUGCACCGUCCUCCUGGACACCGGCUGGGGAGGUGCUGUGUGGGUCACGCUUCCCCUGCGACUCCUGCGGCGUCAGAACCUCUUAGCCUGCAGUCCUGGCUGUGGAGCUCUCGGGAGGGAGGGCCUGCGGCUUUUACUCCAGAGGUGAAUCUUUGGUCCGCAGUCCUCACGCAGACCAAGAGCAAAGCGGCUCUUACUAGACCAAAAGAGACGGAGGGAACCAGGUGGGAAAAAUCUUCCUUCUCCGGACUCCAUCUGGGAAGGAGCCCCCACCUGCAGAUGUGCUGCGGGAACCACAGCCUGGCCGGCCAUGGGUGCUGUCUCAGGGCACUGGAGCUGCACGGUGGAAGGUCGUCUACAAGCUGCUUGCAGCCCUGGCUGCUGAAUGGAAGACGGCACCAGAAGCUCUGACGGUGUGUGGGAGGGGUUCUCUGCUCCCCCAGAGCUCAGUGGGAAGCAGGAGAGGUGAGUCCCUUCCUUUCCAAGGGCGUCACAGAUGCCCGUUCUUGAACUGGCUGUGUCCCGGUCCCCAGUCAGGUGACAGAGUGGCCCAGUACUCCAGGAUACGGAGCACCCUGGGAGACAGGUAUAGUUAAUGCAAACUUUAUUUAUAAAAGACUCUUAAAUUAGUGGUCUCAUGCCAUGCAUUCAUACAGAAUUCAGUGACCCUUCAGGGGUACAGGGAGAAGAGAUCACAAACUCAAAGGAAAACUAUUAAAGAGUUCUAACAGUUAAGAGCUAGGAAAGAUUAGGACAAUUUUACAAAUGAGCAGUCGAAAAGAAAAGAACAGAAAAAGACCAUGGAAACUAGUGUGCGCUGAGGGGCAGCUGUUUACAAGUCUGUACACUAACUAAUCCACAGACGGCUGUGGGGCGCGGGGACCUGGGGACGGACACGCCACUGCCACUGCCUCCGCUGGUGCCGUACCACAGCCACUUUGUGCAUACCCAGCCUGCGCGGCCGCUCCACACUAUGAGGGCUUCUAGUUUAGUAAACUAAAGCUGCAGGGGGCCUGGACAACAGCUUCAUUUGCGACUGCUCUUUAUUCUCUCCAGUCUUUUUUUCAAGUCGUCAAUGUUGGUUGUGGAGGAGGAGGAGGAGGAGGUCAUGGUGCCCGCCGAGUGGGUCUGGUUGGAAUCCAGCUCCGAGUGCUGGUGCUGCUCACGCGACUCCCGCAGCUGGAACAGCUUGCUGUGCAGCAUGUCUGUGGAGGAGGCCACCGGGGGGCACCGUGGGCUUGGAGAGCAAAGAGGUCAGCGGAGGCCGGUCGUCUUGCUGUGGAGAGAAGAGGGGACAUUGUCUCAGCCCAGGGGAACAGGUCAAGGGCCGGCUGCUGCCCUGGGCUGGCCUGCACGGCCCCGUGGGAGGGGGAGCAGUACCUUGGUGUUGUCCAGCCCGCAUCUCUGCCGGAGGAUUUUUAGCCUUUCCAGGUAGACAGACGGUCCCACCUCUUCGCCAUUUGUGUUACCUAUGGAGGACAUUGUGCUUGUAGGGGCGGGCACACAGGUGACCUCCAUCUGAGGCGAGAUGCCUAGGGAGGAAAAUGUAUAGAGAAUGUUCACAGACUCACUCACCUCCAGACUGCCUGGCCAUCUGUCACUGAAAAGAACAAUUAACAACUUAGGGGCUGUUAACUGAGCUGGGGAGGUAGUUCAGUGGUAGAGCACUUGCCUAGUAUGUGCAAAGCCACAAAUUCAAUCACACACAUACACACACACACACACACGCGCGCGCACACACCAGCACAUGCCUGCAAUCCCAGCUACUUGGGAGACUGAGGCAGGAAGAUCACAAUUUGAGGCCAGCUAGCCUGAGCCAAACUUAGUAAGAACCUGCAAAAAAAAGUGCUGGGUGUAGUGGUGCACACCAUAACACCUUCUCUGGGAGGGC